Molecule: long non-coding RNA, 2784 nt
Filed under: Apis dorsata (giant honeybee)
Lineage: Eukaryota; Metazoa; Arthropoda; Insecta; Hymenoptera; Apidae
Description: uncharacterized LOC116185368
Source: RNAcentral
UAACGUAUUCUAACGUACAAAAUGGCGUCUUUUCUAAAUCUGAUAUGAGAAUUGGCAAUUUCAAUAAAAUUUUUUCUAAAGUCCGAGUUUCCAAGUCACAGAACGAUUCGUACUGUGAAAUUAGCAGUUUAACGAACCGAAACCACGUUUACUCGUUAUCUAAUUCCGAGUCUCGUCAACAUCUACGAACAGUGGCACGUUUCUACGCGAAAGUUGGAUACCACAAAUUGCUCGCGUGCUGGACAGAAUAGAAUCACGAUAAACGACGAAAGAAGAGGAUUCAAGAGGCGACCGCGAUGAAAUCUUGCUGAAUCCAGGUUGUGGACAACAGGCUCAUUAGUAGCAUCGAUAUGCAGAAUACUGAAAGUUAUAAAAACGCAAUAAUAUGCGUAUACAAAAGUGCAACGCAAUAUCUGAUCGCAGUCAUAGAUCCAUAUGUUCGCCACCCAAUUAAAAUUAUUCACCUGGGACCAAUUACCGCACCCACGAAGCAUCCAGACGUCAAGGCCGAGGAUACGAUAUAAACCAGUCCUUGUGUUUCAAGUGAAACCGGUUACGCGCCAUGGUGUUUCACGCCCGAACAGAAACAUCAUGAGGAUUUCGCGGCCGCAAUUAGACCUUUGAAAACUGCGUUCCAAUUAACGCCCUCGUAGAUCCCCCUGUGGAUUACUGUCAUGUUUUAUGCAAUCGUCUCGGCACAAGUGCACCUCGCUCGCAUCUGCGACCGGUUGCAAAGUAAUUGUGGCUUGAAGGAGAUAUUCGCUAGUUCGCCGAAAUUUAUUGGUAUACGUAGGCGUAAAAUUAUGAUGGAAAUUGAAUGGAUAUUCCUGAAACUUAUAGAAGAAUAUUUAGAGGAUAAAACAUUCAUCUGUAAGCGAGGUAAAUGCAUUAAGUUGUUCUCUAAUUGUAAGUAAAUAAUGAUAGCUUAUCCUUUAAUUCUAUCGAGAAACAGAUUUUGUAAUUAUCAUUUAAAUAUCGUAUUAUAAGCUGAUUAAAAUAUGUUCCCUCGAUUCAUUCCAUUUGAAAUAAUUCAUUCCAUUUUCACAAAAGGUAGCCAAAAGGAUGAAGAUACUUUAAUUCCCGCGAAGCAUCUAAAAAAAAUUACAAAUGAAACAUUAAUAAGAAGUUUUCACGUAAAGAUAUCUUUCAUAAAAAUUCAAAUUUCAUCAUUCGAGGGAAAAGAAAAGAAAAAUAUAAACGAAACAAACAUUCUUUUUUUCCACCCUUCUGGCAUAAUUCACCGCACGAUAAAUCCCCCUUCAACCAGCCGGGAGAGGGAAUGCCGGAAAUAAUUCGCGAAGGAAGCUGCGUGGCGGAAUUUACGGGCGACGAGCUUUUUAGCAAUUUAUAUCCGGCAGGGGCAAGAUUGUUGUUCGCCGGCCAUUAAAACGGCACGACAUCUCGCAUUGUUCUCGGCCAAUAGCACCGGCCAGCCAUUUUUCACCAGAAUAUUAUGUCCUCCGACCGAUAGCAGAAUACGUCCUUUAUAACUCUCUCUCUCUCUCUCCCUUUCUUCCCUUUUCUCUCUGUCCGCCACGAUUCGAUUCAACGAUUCGAAUGACUCGCGCCAGUUCCCGGGCAACGUUCCAAACCAGUGAAUGACGCCCACUCAAAGAACUUACGCAACGACGCGCGUCGAUGCAGCAGAAAAACACGUUCAUUCACGUUUCGACACAACAGUCGUUGCACUGAUUGAAGAUAUCACCGUUUUUCUUCUUUUUUUUGUUCAUUAUUCGUUUCUCUUUGUAAUCGAUAAUCAUGACUCAAUGUGUAUUGUAAUAGUCUUCUUCAAAUGAGAUUGAAUGGAUGAAUGGAUAACGAAUCGAUGAUUUUAUGGAUUUAUAUAGGUUUAUAGUUUUAUAUAAUGAGUUGAUUUUUCUUGGAAAAUGAUAAAUUAAGAUAAUAAUAUGAUAGCAUAAUAAUUGUUGAAUAAUUGUGUUGUAAGUGGGUAAAUGUUGGUUGAUUGAAAAGUCAUAGUAAAUUAUUUGUUAGGAUUUUUAAUUGAAUUGAAUAUUUUAUGCAUUCUAUAGAUUCAAUUUUUUAAUAAACCUCAUCAGUUUUUAUUUAAGUUUUUUUAGAUGAUCUCAUUUCAGGAACUAAUUUAAAUAUAAUGUAUAGAUCAGAAAUAAUUAUAUUUGUUUUGAAAAUUUUCUCAAACUAAUAUAUCAAUAUUAUAUAUCAUCGAACCAUCAUGUACAUCAACAGAAUUAAUCCAUCCACUGGAGAUAGAUUCCAAUUGCUUCCUACAACAAAUCUUCUAAAAAGGGGGACGUUUUUAACGCCGUAACACGGUGAAAUCACGGUAACCAAAGAGCUCACGUAUCACGAGAUCCGCUAUCCGAUUCGCAGGACGAUACCGUCCGAUAAAUCAGGCGAGAAAGUAGCGAGCAUCGCGACUAAUUCAUACAAUUUCAGACAGUUGGUAGAUUUAUCGGCAGCCUCGGCGCGUGCUCGCAUGUAAAUAGCGGGAGAGAGAGCGGCUGCUGUGAAAUAAUUUAUCGCGUCGUCCACGACAGCCGGGAACAACGAGCGCGUGAUGGUUCGCCUGUUCUCUCUAUAAAUUCUCGGAUGGGGGAGAAGUAUCGGCUCGAUUACCCAGUGGCUCGUUCCGGUUUCGUAGCACAUGAAAAAGAUUUCAGUUAGUAUUCUCGAAAAUGAUAUCUUAUCUAUUUAAUUAUUUAAAUUUUAGAAAUUGGGACGUGUAGGAAUGUAGGUGAUUGUUGUUAUGCACUUUGCAUUGGGUUUUAGAAAAUAAAAUACGCGAUUUUUUUUGUAUUGUUUUUA